RNAcentral lists this long non-coding RNA (1102 nucleotides) under Phasianus colchicus (ring-necked pheasant). RNAcentral's name for it is "lncRNA (ENSPCLG00000016760.1)". Lineage: Eukaryota; Metazoa; Chordata; Aves; Galliformes; Phasianidae. The record is from RNAcentral.
CUCACUGGCAGGGCAGCAUGGGAAGCUGAAAGUCCAUGACUUGGUGUAUGCACUGCUCAGCAGCAGUCAAAACACUGCUGUGCUAUCAACAUUAUUUUCAUCCCAAAUUCAGAACACAGAACCACCCCAACUGCUAUAAUAACUCUGUGCUACCUGAGACCAGGACACCUCCCAACCCCUUCCCUUCUCUCCAGCCUACUUUCAGUGGGGCCAGAAAGGGAAAAAAAGAGAAGGCCUAUAUACCGUGCAAGCGCUGCUCAGCAAAAGCUGGAACACCAGUUUGUUAUCACCACUCUCUUGGCCACCAAUCUAAAGUAAAGCCCCAAAGGAGCUAUUACGAACGCCAGCGUAGCUGGACUCAGUUCAAUCUCUGCCCCUUUUUCCAUGCCAUUUACAUCAUGGUCAGUAAUGCCCCACUAUCUAAUGCCUCUUUGUCAGCCACACCUCUCAACCUCACCUUCAGCACAUCUACCCAUUCCCUGUGUAACAUCUGUAAAAUGUACAGCAAAUAUCCACUGAGUUCAUUCAGCUCUGCCUGUCCAUGCCCACCCCUGGGCCUUCCCUUGCCCAAGCCCAGGCCCCCACACCAUCCUGGGGCUGUGGUCCCUUUCCCAGCAAGACAACAGCAGGCUGGGCCCUUCACAGCCCUGCCAGGUCAGCCCUUUGCCCAGCUGAGCCCACCUGUGGCCCAAACCCAUCCCAGCUUGUGGGCCUGUCCCCCCCCAAGGAGACUCCACACCCAAGGUCUGCACCACUGUCCCUGACUGCCUUCCUGUGCUUGGGAACAUAGGAUGGGAUCAGGUUGCCAGGGCCUGCCCUGAACUCCCCAUGGGGACCCCCAACACUCUUGUCUUACAGGGUGCCCCUGGCCCAUCUUCCCAUGCUGUGUCACUGAGUGGCAGAGAACUCUUCCGUCCUUUUAAAAAAAUUGUUGUUGUUUUCAGCUUUUGUUUGUUUCUUACUUUCUGCAUCCAAGCUGUGUUUCUUGCCCAAGCGUGAACCUUAGAGAUGAAUCUUUCAAAACAACAGAACAUAAAACCAUACUUCACAGCAAAAUUGUGUUUACACUUGUGAAUGUGUUGACAGAAAGGCCAACUUUCAA